AUUAGUUAAACUAGUGAUUCCUGCAAAAAAAAAUUCUAUAUAUGCUCGACCAAAUCAGAUUUCAAAUAUUGAUGCGCACAUCGAUCAUGAAGUCGAGUUCUAGUGUCCAACAUAUUUUCAAGAUUUUAAAGCAUAUAUGUAGAACAUGUGAACUCCACGUGUGAACUUGUUGUUGAUUCCAUUUGUACGAAUUCGAAUACAUCAAAUAGAUUGUACACAUCUCGUUCUUCUUCUACUAUCAUAUUAUUAAGUAUUAUACAUGCUUGCAUAAUAUUUGAUAUUUUUAUCUUAUCUCAAAUAAAAACUGAAUUUUUUACAAUGGCAAAUCGAGGUUGCAAAACUCCAAAAGAACACUCGACAUCUAUACGGCAAGCUUUUUGAUUGGAUGCAAAUAAAGUUGCUUUUCGACUUUGUGGAAUUGAAAUAGAUCGGAUAAAUUCAUCAAUUAGAGUGGCCAAAUCGAUGUGUGCAACCAGCGUUGGUGGAGAUGGAUGGCAGGAGGUCAUAAAAUCGGUGACAUCGAUGAUUGGUUUCGAUUUCAAGCGAAUCGAUUCCGGUGUCGCGUUGUGUGAAAGAGAGAGAGGAAGAAGAAACAAAAGAAAAAAGAAACACUCAAUUAUAAAAUACCACAACUCUUAGGGUUUUAGUUUGACUUUUAUAUAAGAGUCAUAUUUCAUAUAAUCAAUAA
This 688-nucleotide small RNA is filed under the name Arabidopsis thaliana (thale cress). RNAcentral's name for it is "ATSL044430". The record is from RNAcentral. Lineage: Eukaryota; Viridiplantae; Streptophyta; Magnoliopsida; Brassicales; Brassicaceae.